AAACACAGACCUUUACAGAGAGUUCAGACAAGAAACAAACGAAGCCGAAGCAUCGAUGGAGAUAGCCGCCACGAGCACUGUCACUCUUGCUUCGCCGCAACCACGCCAAUUCUCACAUACCUUCUCUAGAUCGUUACCUUCUCUUCGUUUCAACCUCUCCGGGAGGAGAAACCUUUCCUUCAAAAGCACUAACCUUCGCGUCUCAGCGACCUCCAUGAGCGCCUUCGCCGCCGAGAAACUCUCGCCGGAAACCUUCCUCGACAAAAAGGAAACCGGAAUCCUCCACUUCGUCAAGUACCACGGCCUUGGAAACGAUUUCAUUCUGGUAGACAAUAGGGACUCCUCAGAGCCUAAGAUUACUCAGGAGCAAGCUGUGAAGCUCUGUGAUCGAAACUUCGGCGUUGGUGCUGACGGAGUCAUUUUUGCGAUGCCUGGCGUUAAUGGUGCUGAUUACACUAUGAGGAUAUUCAACUCAGAUGGUAGUGAACCUGAGGUACGAAGUGUUUUGAUUAAUCCUCUGUUUUUGUUAGAAAAUACUCUGUUUUUGGUAUUAAAGACUCUGUUUUUGGUAUUAAAGACUCUGUUUUUGUUAGAAAAGACUCUGCUUUUGUUAGAAAAGACUCUGUUUUUGUUAUUAAAGACUCUGUUUUUUUAUUAGAAAGCUAUAAAGACUCUGUUUUUUUGUUAGAUGUGUGGAAAUGGAGUUAGAUGCUUUGCAAGAUUCAUUGCUGAGAUUGAGAAUCUACAGGGAAAGCAUAGGUAUUGUAAUCAGAAAUAAUGAUUAAAAAGUGUCACACUUGCUCAUGCUUUUGUUCAUUGCAGUUUUACAAUACAUACUGGUGCUGGUCUGAUCAUUCCAGAGAUUCAAGAUCAUGGGCAGGUAAAAAGUUAUAUUCCUGAGAAAGUUUUGUUUUGUUCUUCUCUGUUUUAACUGGAUUGGUGUUGAUACAGGUUAAGGUUGAUAUGGGGGAACCGAUCCUUAGAGCAGAGGAUGUGCCUACGAGGUUGCAAGGGAACAAAGGUGAGUCUGUUGUUGCGGCGGAGCUGGUUGUUGAUGGAGUGAGCUGGAAUGUGACGUGUGUAAGCAUGGGGAACCCUCACUGUAUCACAUUUGGCACUAAGGACGGACAGGUACAUACUUAGAAAGAAGGACUUUCUGUAUGUAAGCAAAUUGAGUUUGUGAUUUUCGGUUUUGCAUCGGUCCAGGAUCUGAGAGUUGAUGAGCUGAAGUUGUCAGAGAUUGGUCCUAAGUUCGAGCAUCAUGAGAUGUUCCCUGCUAGAACCAACACAGGUUGGUGGAGAUUUACAUAGAAGUGUCACUGGCGGUUACAUUGCCAUUGUCUGUUCUCAUAUCUCUUUGAACUUUAUCUGCAGAGUUCGUGGAGGUCUUGUCACGUUCACAUUUAAAAAUGCGUGUCUGGGAGCGUGGGGCAGGUUAGCCAAGUCCAAAAUCUAUUUUUUAGUUAUAUAUAUCCUUAUCAUAUAGUACUAAAAUGUAUUCAAACUGCAGGAGCAACUUUGGCUUGUGGAACAGGAGCUUGUGCUUUAGUUGUUGCAGCGGUCCUUGAAGGUCGAACAGACAGGGUAAGUUUGAAUAACUUUUUUCAUUUUAAAGUAUGAUGAUGAAUCCCAUAGUUAUUAAUUACAAUUUUGGUUCAGUAGCAAUAUCUCAUACAUGUUUGUAUUUAUGGUGGAACAGAAAUGCACGGUGGAUCUACCUGGUGGACCGUUGGAGAUAGAGUGGAAAGAGGAAGACAACCAUAUUUACAUGACUGGUCCUGCGGAUUUGGUGUUCUACGGUUCAGCUCUUCUUUAAUGGAAGAGGUAGCUACUGUGUUGUUGUGAUCUUGAGUCUUAAUAUGCCCAUCUUGAUCUCUGUUGUCUUCUGCAUUGUGUAUCACGAAACAUUUGAUGCACUUCUCUUAUUGUUUCUGCUAAUUGUGUUUUCCUUUUGUUAAAACAGAUUACUCUAUAUGAUUUGUUAUAAACUUACCACAAAGGUUAUUUUGUGUAUUAUGUAUUUCGUAAAACGAAACCACUUUUCAUUUCAUGUUAAAUCUUUAACUAAUGGAGAAUUAUAACAGCUCGAUUAUUGGACAUUUCUUCAAUAAUAUGUCUGUAUAAUAGUAAAGCUUUUCGUGUUUCAAAAAAAAAAAAAAAAGAUGAUCGGGAAUUAUUUAGAUUUAAUACUAUCAUUUAAAAUAUAUUUUGAAUUUAAAAUUAGAAGUUAAUAAUAUCUCUAAUUCUAAAAUGAAAUUUAGUCUUUGAAAUAAUUUGUAAGUUUAAAAUUAAAUACUAUAUUAAAAACAUGUAAUUAAAUAUUUGAAAUAAGUAUUUAAAUUUUAAAUAUUUAUUUCAUUUACUAAUUUGGAUUAUUGAACUUUGAUGAAUUAUUCUUUUUUUUUUUUGUUUUUACAAUACCUGUUUGGAUUUUAUUAAUAAUGUUUCAGAUUUAUAUACAUUUUACCAAAUUUCAUUCAUGUAUUUUUGCAAUUCAAAUUGGGUAUGGGUUUAAGUUUUUCGGUUUGGAUCUUGGUUUUCUGAUUUUAUUUUGAGUUUUUUUUUUUUAUUUGUGGCGUUGCGUUUUAAACGUUUUUUAUUUUGCCUCGACCCGGUUGACCCGUGAUCCGAAAGGGCCAAAACACAGACCUUUACAGAGAGUUCAGACAAGAAACAAACGAAGCCGAAGCAUCGAUGGAGAUAGCCGCCACGAGCACUGUCACUCUUGCUUCGCCGCAACCACGCCAAUUCUCACAUACCUUCUCUAGAUCGUUACCUUCUCUUCGUUUCAACCUCUCCGGGAGGAGAAACCUUUCCUUCAAAAGCACUAACCUUCGCGUCUCAGCGACCUCCAUGAGCGCCUUCGCCGCCGAGAAACUCUCGCCGGAAACCUUCCUCGACAAAAAGGAAACCGGAAUCCUCCACUUCGUCAAGUACCACGGCCUUGGAAACGAUUUCAUUCUGGUAGACAAUAGGGACUCCUCAGAGCCUAAGAUUACUCAGGAGCAAGCUGUGAAGCUCUGUGAUCGAAACUUCGGCG
Molecule: long non-coding RNA, 3040 nt
Filed under: Brassica napus (rape)
Lineage: Eukaryota; Viridiplantae; Streptophyta; Magnoliopsida; Brassicales; Brassicaceae
Description: long non-coding RNA (BNAP_LNC004029)
Source: RNAcentral